CGCUGGCGGCGUGCCUAACACAUGUAAGUCGAACGGGACCAGGGGCAACUCUGGUUCAGUGGCGGACGGGUGCGUAACACGUGAGGAACAUGACCUUCGGCGGGGGAUAGCCGGCCCAACGGCCGGGUAAUACCGCGUACGACCAUUUGGGGACAUCCCUGGGUGGUGAAAGCAGCAAUGCGCCGAUGGAGUGCCUCGCGGCCUAUCAGCUAGUUGGUGAGGUAACGGCUCACCAAGGCGACGACGGGUAGCUGGUCUGAGAGGAUGGCCAGCCACAUUGGGACUGAGACACGGCCCAGACUCCUACGGGAGGCAGCAGUGGGGAAUAUUGCGCAAUGGACGAAAGUCUGACGCAGCGACGCCGCGUGUGGGAUGACGGUCUUCGGAUUGUAAACCACUGUCGGGAGGGACGAAUACGCCGCAAGGCGGGUGACGGUACCUCCAAAGGAAGCACCGGCUAACUCCGUGCCAGCAGCCGCGGUAAUACGGAGGGUGCGAGCGUUGUCCGGAAUCACUGGGCGUAAAGGGCGCGUAGGCGGCCUGAUAAGUAGGGGGUGAAAUCCUGCGGCUUAACCGCAGGGCUGCCUUCUAAACUGUCAGGCUCGAGCACAGUAGAGGCAGGUGGAAUUCCCGGUGUAGCGGUGGAAUGCGUAGAGAUCGGGAAGAACAUCAGUGGCGAAGGCGGUCUGCUGGGCUGUUACUGACGCUGAGACUCGAAAGCGU
This 723-nucleotide ribosomal RNA is filed under the name uncultured soil bacterium. RNAcentral describes it as "bacterial SSU rRNA". It matches the Rfam family "Bacterial small subunit ribosomal RNA", at positions 34 to 762 of the family's 1533-position model. The record is from RNAcentral.